ACGCUGGCGGCAGGCUUAACACAUGCAAGUCGAACGGUAACAGGGAUUAGCUUGCUAAUCUGCUGACGAGUGGCGGACGGGUGAGUAAUGCUUGGGAAUCUGGCUUAUGGAGGGGGAUAACUACGGGAAACUGUAGCUAAUACCGCGUAAAAUCUUCGGAUUAAAGGGUGGGACUUUCGAGCCACCUGCCAUAAGAUGAGCCCAAGUGGGGUUAGGUAGUUGGUUAGGUAAAGGCUGACCAAGCCGACGAUCUCUAGCUGGUCUGAGAGGAUGACCAGCCACACUGGAACUGAGACACGGUCCAGACUCCUACGGGAGGCAGCAGUGGGGAAUAUUGCACAAUGGGGGGAACCCUGAUGCAGCCAUGCCGCGUGAAUGAAGAAGGCCUUCGGGUUGUAAAGUUCUUUCGGUGACGAGGAAGGUUGAUAGGUUAAUAGCCUAUCAAAUUGACGUUAAUCACAGAAGAAGCACCGGCUAACUCCGUGCCAGCAGCCGCGGUAAUACGGGGGGUGCGAGCGUUAAUCGGAAUAACUGGGCGUAAAGGGCACGCAGGCGGUGACUUAAGUGAGAUGUGAAAGCCCCGAGCUUAACUUGGGAAUUGCACUUCAUACUGGGUCGCUAGAGUACUUUAGGGAGGGGUAGAAUUCCACGUGUAGCGGUGAAAUGCGUAGAGAUGUGGAGGAAUACCGAAGGCGAAGGCAGCCCCUUGGGAAUGUACUGACGCUCAUGUGCGAAAGCGUGGGGAGCAAACAGGAUUAGAUACCCUGGUAGUCCACGCUGUAAACGAUGUCGAUUUGGGGAUUGGGCUUUGAGCUUGGUGCCCGUAGCUAACGUGAUAAAUCGACCGCCUGGGGAGUACGGCCGCAAGGUUAAAACUCAAAUGAAUUGACGGGGGCCCGCACAAGCGG
RNAcentral lists this ribosomal RNA (908 nucleotides) under uncultured bacterium. Its description in RNAcentral is "bacterial SSU rRNA". It matches the Rfam family "Bacterial small subunit ribosomal RNA", at positions 33 to 932 of the family's 1533-position model. The record is from RNAcentral.